GGGGGGNNNNAGCGUUGUUCGGAAUUACUGGGCGUAAAGGGGACGUAGGCGGCCAACUAAGUCCGACGUGAAAUCCCAAGGCUUAACCUUGGAACUGCGUCGGAUACUGGAUGGCUUGAAUUCGGGAGAGGGAUGCAGAAUUCCAGGUGUAGCGGUGAAAUGCGUAGAUAUCUGGAGGAAUACCGGUGGCGAAGGCGGCAUCCUGGACCGACAUUGACGCUGAAAGCCGAAAGCUAGGGGAGCAAACGGGAUUAGAUACCCCGGUAGUCCUAGCCCUAAACGAUGAAUGUUUGGUGUGGCGGGUAUCGAUCCCUGCCGUGCCGAAGCUAACGCAUUAAACAUUCCGCCUGGGGAGUACGGUCGCAAGGCUG
RNAcentral lists this ribosomal RNA (371 nucleotides) under uncultured bacterium. Its description in RNAcentral is "bacterial SSU rRNA". It matches the Rfam family "Bacterial small subunit ribosomal RNA", at positions 527 to 896 of the family's 1533-position model. The record is from RNAcentral.